RNAcentral lists this small RNA (76 nucleotides) under Salmonella enterica subsp. enterica serovar Oranienburg. RNAcentral describes it as "partial RtT sRNA". It matches the Rfam family "RtT RNA", at positions 1 to 75 of the family's 130-position model. Rfam says of the family: This family represents a bacterial cis-regulatory element known as RtT RNA. The exact function of RtT is unknown although it is thought that it may be involved in changing the cellular response in relation to amino acid starvation. The record is from RNAcentral. Lineage: Bacteria; Pseudomonadati; Pseudomonadota; Gammaproteobacteria; Enterobacterales; Enterobacteriaceae.
AUAUCUCUCCGUACGGGAAGGAUGAGAAGCUUCGACUAAGGUUCGAUUCGAGCGAAAGCGAGAAAGCGUUGCCAAC